CUAGCCAGAGCGAGCGAGUUGAUAAAGACGACGACGAACCUGCAGAACAACCUUCAUUUGGAUAUAUUGUUAUUCUCUCCUCUGUUCGGUGUGUUUAAAACUGGUGAAUCUCCGGAUGUUCUCCUUUCUCACUCGUUGUGACAACUAACCCCUUUACUGUAUUUACGGAUGUGAGGAGACACACACAGAGAGUUGUGCUCCAGAGCUGCCAAACCUCUGACAGGAGGGUGGCGACGGCCUCGCCGGGGUGAUCCACUCGUCUUCUGCCUCUGUGUGUUAAGCUUUUCUCUGGAUCUGUUAUCAAGAUGAGCAUGCAUGCAAAAGAGUGGGGGAAAAAAAACAGAAAUAGAAAGGGCACGCAUGCAGAAAACAUUCCAUUCCAUCCAUUUAUUUAGUUAUGGUGUGCAAAUAAUGCAUUGCAUAUGGAUUUAAAAAAUGUAAUUUUAGAGAAUAGCAUGCUCAAAAAUCGAAUCAAUGUGUCUGUAACCUCAAAUUAAUUUUAGCUCAGUGAUCUGACCUAACCCAUCCUUAUUUUUUAUUUAGCCUAUCCACUGUAAAAAAUUAAUACGCCUUAUCUAAUC
Molecule: long non-coding RNA, 581 nt
Organism: Pimephales promelas (fathead minnow)
Lineage: Eukaryota; Metazoa; Chordata; Actinopteri; Cypriniformes; Leuciscidae
Source: RefSeq, a predicted model, not a curated record